This 258-nucleotide ribosomal RNA is filed under the name uncultured bacterium. Its description in RNAcentral is "partial 16S ribosomal RNA". It matches the Rfam family "Bacterial small subunit ribosomal RNA", at positions 793 to 1055 of the family's 1533-position model. The record is from RNAcentral.
GUCCACGCCCUAAACGAUGAUAACUCUAUGUUGGCGAUAUACAGUCAGCGUCCAAGCGAAAGCGUUAAGUUAUCCACCUGGGGAGUACGCCCGCAAGGGUGAAACUCAAAGGAAUUGACGGGGCCCGCACAAGCGGAGGAGCAUGUGGUUUAAUUCGAUGAUACGCGAGGAACCUUACCCGGGCUUGAAAGUUAGUGAAUCAUUUUAGAGAUAGAUGAGUCCGCAAGGACACGAAACUAGGUGCUGCAUGGCUGUCGU